UCUCCUCAGUUUGGGAUACCCCGGGAAACUGGGGAUAAUACCAAGUGUUUCAAGGUUGCUGGAAUGCUCUUUGAUUGAAAGCUUCGGUGCCUGAGGAUGAGUCUGCGGCCUAUCAGGUUGUAGUGGGUGUAAUGUACCUACUAGCCAGCGACGGGUACGGGUUGUGAGAGCAAGAGCCCGGAGAUGGAUUCUGAGACAUGAAUCCAGGCCCUACGGGGUGCAGCAGGCGCGAAACCUUUACAAUGCGCGAAAGCGCGAUAAGGAGACCCUGAGUGCUAGCACAUAGUGCUGGCUGUCCAGCUGUUUAAAAAGCAGUUGUUAGCAAGGGCCGGGCAAGACCGGUGCCAGCCGCCGCGGUAACACCGGCGGCCCGAGUGGUAACUGAUUUUAUUGGGCUUAAAGCGUUCGUAGCCGGUUUAGUAAGUUUCUUAGGAAAUCUAGCAGCUUAACUGUUAGACGUCUAAGAGAUACUGCUAUGACUUGGGACCGGGAGAGGUAGGAGGUACUCCAGGGGUAGGGGUGAAAUCUUGUAAUCCCUGGGGGACCAUCGAUGGCGAAGGCAUCCUACCAGAACGGGUUCGACGGUGAGGGACGAAAGCUGGGGGCACAAACCGGAUUAGAUACCCGGGUAGUCCCAGCUGUAAACGAUGCUCGCUAGGUGUCAGAUACGGUGCGUCCGUAUUUGGUGCCGUAGGGAAACCGUGAAGCGAGCCGCCUG
RNAcentral lists this ribosomal RNA (718 nucleotides) under uncultured Methanosarcinales archaeon. RNAcentral describes it as "bacterial SSU rRNA". It matches the Rfam family "Archaeal small subunit ribosomal RNA", at positions 110 to 830 of the family's 1478-position model. The record is from RNAcentral. Lineage: Archaea; Methanobacteriati; Methanobacteriota; Methanomicrobia; Methanosarcinales.